UUAAGCGACUAAGCGUACACGGUGGAUGCCCUGGCAGUCAGAGGCGAUGAAGGACGUGCUAAUCUGCGAUAAGCGUCGGUAAGGUGAUAUGAACCGUUAUAACCGGCGAUUUCCGAAUGGGGAAACCCAGUGUGAUUCGUCACACUAUCAUUAACUGAAUCCAUAGGUUAAUGAGGCGAACCGGGGGAACUGAAACAUCUAAGUACCCCGAGGAAAAGAAAUCAACCGAGAUUCCCCCAGUAGCGGCGAGCGAACGGGGAGCAGCCCAGAGCCUGAAUCAGUGUGUGUGUUAGUGGAAGCGUCUGGAAAGGCGUGCGAUACAGGGUGACAGCCCCGUACACAAAAAUGCACAUGCUGUGAGCUCGAUGAGUAGGGCGGGACACGUGGUAUCCUGUCUGAAUAUGGGGGGACCAUCCUCCAAGGCUAAAUACUCCUGACUGACCGAUAGUGAACCAGUACCGUGAGGGAAAGGCGAAAAGAACCCCGGCGAGGGGAGUGAAAAAGAACCUGAAACCGUGUACGUACAAGCAGUGGGAGCACAGAGCAAUCUGUGUGACUGCGUACCUUUUGUAUAAUGGGUCAGCGACUUAUAUUCUGUAGCAAGGUUAACCGAAUAGGGGAGCCGAAGGGAAACCGAGUCUUAACUGGGCGUUAAGUUGCAGGGUAUAGACCCGAAACCCGGUGAUCUAGCCAUGGGCAGGUUGAAGGUUGGGUAACACUAACUGGAGGACCGAACCGACUAAUGUUGAAAAAUUAGCGGAUGACUUGUGGCUGGGGGUGAAAGGCCAAUCAAACCGGGAGAUAGCUGGUUCUCCCCGAAAGCUAUUUAGGUAGCGCCUCGUGAAUUCAUCUCCGGGGUAGAGCACUGUUUCGGCAAGGGGGUCAUCCCGACUUACCAACCCGAUGCAAACUGCGAAUACCGGAGAAUGUUAUCACGGGAGACACACGGCGGGUGCUAACGUCCGUCGUGAAGAGGGAAACAACCCAGACCGCCAGCUAAGGUCCCAAAGUCAUGGUUAAGUGGGAAACGAUGUGGGAAGGCCCAGACAGCCAGGAUGUUGGCUUAGAAGCAGCCAUCAUUUAAAGAAAGCGUAAUAGCUCACUGGUCGAGUCGGCCUGCGCGGAAGAUGUAACGGGGCUAAACCAUGCACCGAAGCUGCGGCAGCGACGCUUAUGCGUUGUUGGGUAGGGGAGCGUUCUGUAAGCCUGCGAAGGUGUGCUGUGAGGCAUGCUGGAGGUAUCAGAAGUGCGAAUGCUGACAUAAGUAACGAUAAAGCGGGUGAAAAGCCCGCUCGCCGGAAGACCAAGGGUUCCUGUCCAACGUUAAUCGGGGCAGGGUGAGUCGACCCCUAAGGCGAGGCCGAAAGGCGUAGUCGAUGGGAAACAGGUUAAUAUUCCUGUACUUGGUGUUACUGCGAAGGGGGACGGAGAAGGCUAUGUUGGCCGGGCGACGGUUGUCCCGGUUUAAGCGUGUAGGCUGGUUUUCCAGGCAAAUCCGGAAAAUCAAGGCUGAGGCGUGAUGACGAGGCACUACGGUGCUGAAGCAACAAAUGCCCUGCUUCCAGGAAAAGCCUCUAAGCAUCAGGUAACAUCAAAUCGUACCCCAAACCGACACAGGUGGUCAGGUAGAGAAUACCAAGGCGCUUGAGAGAACUCGGGUGAAGGAACUAGGCAAAAUGGUGCCGUAACUUCGGGAGAAGGCACGCUGAUAUGUAGGUGAAGUCCCUCGCGGAUGGAGCUGAAAUCAGUCGAAGAUACCAGCUGGCUGCAACUGUUUAUUAAAAACACAGCACUGUGCAAACACGAAAGUGGACGUAUACGGUGUGACGCCUGCCCGGUGCCGGAAGGUUAAUUGAUGGGGUCAGCGCAAGCGAAGCUCUUGAUCGAAGCCCCGGUAAACGGCGGCCGUAACUAUAACGGUCCUAAGGUAGCGAAAUUCCUUGUCGGGUAAGUUCCGACCUGCACGAAUGGCGUAAUGAUGGCCAGGCUGUCUCCACCCGAGACUCAGUGAAAUUGAACUCGCUGUGAAGAUGCAGUGUACCCGCGGCAAGACGGAAAGACCCCGUGAACCUUUACUAUAGCUUGACACUGAACAUUGAGCCUUGAUGUGUAGGAUAGGUGGGAGGCUUUGAAGUGUGGACGCCAGUCUGCAUGGAGCCGACCUUGAAAUACCACCCUUUAAUGUUUGAUGUUCUAACGUUGACCCGUAAUCCGGGUUGCGGACAGUGUCUGGUGGGUAGUUUGACUGGGGCGGUCUCCUCCUAAAGAGUAACGGAGGAGCACGAAGGUUGGCUAAUCCUGGUCGGACAUCAGGAGGUUAGUGCAAUGGCAUAAGCCAGCUUGACUGCGAGCGUGACGGCGCGAGCAGGUGCGAAAGCAGGUCAUAGUGAUCCGGUGGUUCUGAAUGGAAGGGCCAUCGCUCAACGGAUAAAAGGUACUCCGGGGAUAACAGGCUGAUACCGCCCAAGAGUUCAUAUCGACGGCGGUGUUUGGCACCUCGAUGUCGGCUCAUCACAUCCUGGGGCUGAAGUAGGUCCCAAGGGUAUGGCUGUUCGCCAUUUAAAGUGGUACGCGAGCUGGGUUUAGAACGUCGUGAGACAGUUCGGUCCCUAUCUGCCGUGGGCGCUGGAGAAUUGAGGGGGGCUGCUCCUAGUACGAGAGGACCGGAGUGGACGCAUCACUGGUGUUCGGGUUGUCAUGCCAAUGGCACUGCCCGGUAGCUAAAUGCGGAAGAGAUAAGUGCUGAAAGCAUCUAAGCACGAAACUUGCCCCGAGAUGAGUUCUCCCUGACUCCUUGAGAGUCCUGAAGGAACGUUGAAGACGACGACGUUGAUAGGCCGGGUGUGUAAGCGCAGCGAUGCGUUGAGCUAACCGGUACUAAUGAACCGUGAGGCUUAACCU
RNAcentral lists this ribosomal RNA (2901 nucleotides) under Escherichia coli. Its description in RNAcentral is "23S ribosomal RNA". It matches the Rfam family "Bacterial large subunit ribosomal RNA". The record is from RNAcentral. Lineage: Bacteria; Pseudomonadati; Pseudomonadota; Gammaproteobacteria; Enterobacterales; Enterobacteriaceae.